GCAAACUUGGUCAUUUAGAGGAAGUAAAAGUCGUAACAAGGUUUCCGUAGGUGAACCUGCGGAAGGAUCAUCAUUGAAUUUAUACUUAUACACCCUUGUGAACAUUGGCUGCCUAGGGCAGAAGCCCCCUUACUCGGGGCGCCCCGGGAAUGCCGCAUGUACAACUAUGUUUUGACUUUGGCGGGCCAAGCGUAUGUAUCCGGUAAGGCGAGAGCCUCCUCGGAUGCUGCUUCCCGCCAACGUCAAACGUUAGGAAAAACCUUUGGAAAAACUGAAAGCUAAUAAUUCUUGUAUGAAAUAUGAACAACUUUCAACAAUGGAUCUCUUGGCUCUCGCAUCGAUGAAGAACGCAGC
Molecule: unclassified non-coding RNA, 354 nt
Filed under: uncultured fungus
Lineage: Eukaryota; Fungi
Description: partial contains small subunit ribosomal RNA, internal transcribed spacer 1, and 5.8S ribosomal RNA
Rfam family: Eukaryotic small subunit ribosomal RNA (bases 1-73)
Source: RNAcentral